CCUGCCCUCUGAGGCCUUGCAGGUGUGGCUGCUGUGUCACAUGUGCAUCAGCAGGUGGCAGAGAGGAGAAAGGCUAUGUCUGCCCUCAGAGUUUUGACCAAUUAACUUCUGAAUGAUUAGUAGCCUAACAUU
Molecule: small nucleolar RNA, 132 nt
Filed under: Mus caroli (Ryukyu mouse)
Lineage: Eukaryota; Metazoa; Chordata; Mammalia; Rodentia; Muridae
Description: predicted gene, 23528 (MGP_CAROLIEiJ_G0035746.1)
Rfam family: Small nucleolar RNA SNORA17
About the family: snoRNA ACA 17 belongs to the H/ACA family of snoRNAs and is predicted to guide pseudouridylation of the 28S rRNA at positions U4659 and U4598. It shares the same host gene together with ACA43. NB This family has a high threshold value to exclude a large number of closely related sequences that do not appear to have conserved H and ACA boxes, and may be pseudogenes.
Source: RNAcentral